This 429-nucleotide long non-coding RNA is filed under the name Felis catus (domestic cat). Its description in RNAcentral is "lncRNA (ENSFCAG00000040164.2)". Lineage: Eukaryota; Metazoa; Chordata; Mammalia; Carnivora; Felidae. The record is from RNAcentral.
GAACUUUCAUCAGAUUUUCAAAAAUGCCUGUGACACACAAAAAAGGAUAGGAACCACUGACAUAGUAAAUCAUCAACAAGUUUACUGGAAAUUUUUGCUUGCCAGGUAGACUGCCUAAUGAAGCAGAAGGUCAUGAGAAAGUCAUUCUCCUUCUCUGACUUGCGUCUCCCUGGAGAACUACUGCCGGUAGCUACUGGGACCUCCUUCCCUAGGACUGGCACUGAGUGUCCCUGGAUCCAGCCCCGAAUGAGGCUCAAGUCUAGGCAAGGAGCAAGCUCAGGAAAUCACGUAAGAGCCCCAACACGGGGAGACCAGACGUCUGCCUUUGAUGCAGAGAGAGAUAAUAGGUCUGGCUGGCAGGAUCGGGGGUGGAGUUUUGAGCGGCGAGGCUGGAAUGGUGGACAAGGGCCAGUUGACCAGGGUCACUGA